Molecule: small nucleolar RNA, 140 nt
Filed under: Dasypus novemcinctus (nine-banded armadillo)
Lineage: Eukaryota; Metazoa; Chordata; Mammalia; Cingulata; Dasypodidae
Description: Small nucleolar RNA SNORA1 (ENSDNOG00000026646.1)
Rfam family: Small nucleolar RNA SNORA1
About the family: ACA1 is a member of the H/ACA class of snoRNA that guide the sites of modification of uridines to pseudouridines.
Source: RNAcentral
AGCCUCAUUCCAUAUGGGAAUGGGCACAGUUGAUCAUAGUGUCCAGAAUUGAUAAUGUGGCUAAACUGAGACACAGGUUAUGCGUCCAUCACAGUAAAUAUAUUACAGUGGUGACAAUACAAAAAAAAUCUAUAACACUU